Molecule: long non-coding RNA, 745 nt
Organism: Lactuca sativa (garden lettuce)
Lineage: Eukaryota; Viridiplantae; Streptophyta; Magnoliopsida; Asterales; Asteraceae
Source: RefSeq, a predicted model, not a curated record
GGACAACAAAUGCAAAUGAGGAAUCUUCACGAUCACAUGCCAUUCUUCGUUCAUAAAUCUUGCAGGAAAUGAAAGAGGUGCAGAUACAACUGAUAAUGAUAAGAAAACAAGGCUUGGCCUGUGCGUACUCCAAGGCCUGUUGCUUUCAAGCUUGUUGCUGAUACCCCUCUUCUUACUGGACAGCAAACAAUCUUUCUUUUCUUUCUAGACAUGAUUAAAGGCAUGUUUUUGGCUGUAGUUAUUGGACCACCUGUUGUGGUUGCCAUCAUUUUAAUAGUACAGGAGAGCAUUCUAAACAUUCUGGAAACUUUAAAAGAAGAGGGAAAUAGGGUCUUGUUCAAUGCUUUAGCUGUGUUUGCUCUAAAGGGAGAUCAACUUAUCACAAGUAAGUUACUGUUUCACCCUUUUAUUUAAUAUUUUUGUGAUUGAAUGAAAGUCUUAAUGAAAGUAAUUGACAACCUUUCUCUGUAAAUGAUGUUGUGAUUGUGGGAGAGGUGUUGUGUUUUUCUCUGUUGCUAGGUAACCUUCUCAACAACAACAUUCUACUUAAGCAGGUGAGUAAUCAAGAUUAAGGGAGACUUGUAAUCAUGUUUGACAUUCCUUUCCAGUAAGAAAAAGAGUUGUAUGAUUAUUUGUUAGUUUUAUAGGAAUGUAUAACCCAUGUUAGCAAUGUUUUAUUUUUGUUUAACAUUUGAAUGAUUCUUUGUAUGACAUUACAAUUUGUGUAAUUUAUUUUAUUUUUUGA